GCCAGCAUGGUGUAGUGGUUUGAGCAUUGGACUAGGACUCUGGAGACCAGGGUUCAAAUCCCAGCUUGGCC
Phrynosoma platyrhinos (Desert horned lizard) is the source of this 71-nucleotide non-coding RNA. Lineage: Eukaryota; Metazoa; Chordata; Lepidosauria; Squamata; Phrynosomatidae. The record is from the annotation of a GenBank genome assembly.